Long non-coding RNA from Canis lupus familiaris (dog), 456 nucleotides. RefSeq lists it as uncharacterized. The transcript is spliced from 3 exons. NCBI's taxonomy places the organism in Eukaryota, Metazoa, Chordata, Mammalia, Carnivora, Canidae. The record is from RefSeq and is a predicted model, not a curated record.
CCUGGGGUCCUGCCUCUCAUGCUCAUGUGACCCUGUGUAGGAAGCAUCGGCACCCCAGGCCGCAGAGCAGAAAAAGGCUCAAAGUAGCCACAGACUUACCUAAGACCAGAGACCAUGGACCUGGAGCAGCGGUCAGAGGGCCAAGGUCCCACGUGUCCCCAGCACCAAGGACAGCACCCAGCACACAGCCGGUGCAGUGGAGGCUGAGCACCACAGGGAUGUCCCUCCAGCCCAGAGCCCCCUGGAAACAGAGACAGAUGAGGGGCAGAGCUGAACCGCCAGCUUAUCUGCUUCUGUGUUCUCUCCCUCUCUCCUCUUGAUAUGAAACCGCUACUCCCGCGAUUAAAUGUCUCUCAGCCUAACACCUAUGGGACCUGGGGAGAAAGAGGAGAGAGGCGCCAACCUUGACCCUGUCAAAUAAAUAUCUCUAACUUUUCCUGUCCUCGGGCUCCCCGG